GAAGGGAAUUUACUUAUUCUAUGUAAUCAUUUUACUAUCUAAUUCUUCUAUACUGCUAUUCUUUCUAUAAUUCUUGUCUAUCAACAAAAGUGGGAUAUAAAGUAAAGAGCAAAGCAACAAUUGAACUGUUGUUUGAUGAAAAUGUAAUCAAUCCACCACCAAGAUAUAAGAAACCAUUAGCUAAGCUCAACUAAAACAGCAUGUUUAAACAACAUAAAAUUAGAAUAUGAUUGAAGAAAACUAAUUAACAACAUUAUUUGAUUAAAAAAAUAUCAUUUGAUUCAAAAAAGAAAAAAGCUGAAAUAGUUAUAGCCUAUUGUCUAUUAUUGGUAACCCAGCAAGAGGAUUGAGCACCUGUCCAACAAAUUAAAGAGGAUUGUUCCGGUCCAAUCUUCUUUAAUUAGAAAUAAGAAUGGGUGGUCAGCUACAAAGUCUAGUCGAGGACGAGGAGGACCAAAGGAUUCGCAAAAGGCAUUAUGUGGCAUGGAUUGGGUGAAAAUCAACAACGGAAGCCAAGAAGAGGAAGUGUUUGUUCAAUCCAAACACUAUCGGGCAAAAUUAGAGAGGCGAGGCCGCCGGUGAGAUAAGGGUCCGUGAGUACGCGAAUGAGUUGAGAUGAUGGAUAGAUUUGGAGCAGAGGAAGUCAAGAAUCUGUUGUUGAGUGGGACCCUCAGAGCCGGCAGCGAUUAUGAUGCUGAGAAUAACUUGAAUCGAGAGUGGUGAAAACAUAAUGUUGGCUAUUUUGAGUGAAACGUUGGUUAGUUUCAGUGAUCAUUGAAUCACUCAAGACCUUAUAUAUAUACUUCAAAAGAGAUAAAGCGUUGCUCUCACGCUUUGAAUAUAAUAUUAGGAGAACUUCUACG
RNAcentral lists this long non-coding RNA (863 nucleotides) under Medicago truncatula (barrel medic). Its description in RNAcentral is "long non-coding RNA (MTRU_LNC001155)". The record is from RNAcentral. Lineage: Eukaryota; Viridiplantae; Streptophyta; Magnoliopsida; Fabales; Fabaceae.